This 77-nucleotide transfer RNA is filed under the name Candidatus Kaiserbacteria bacterium CG10_big_fil_rev_8_21_14_0_10_59_10. RNAcentral describes it as "tRNA-Val". It matches the Rfam family "tRNA". From Rfam's summary of the family: Transfer RNA (tRNA) molecules are approximately 80 nucleotides in length. Their secondary structure includes four short double-helical elements and three loops (D, anti-codon, and T loops). The record is from RNAcentral. Lineage: Bacteria; Candidatus Kaiseribacteriota.
GCGCGCAUAGCUCAGUUGGUUAGAGCGUCCGCUUGACGUGCGGAAGGUCCCACGUUCGAAUCGUGGUGCGCGCACAA